Long non-coding RNA from Pteropus alecto (black flying fox), 1174 nucleotides. RefSeq lists it as uncharacterized. The transcript is spliced from 4 exons. The record is from RefSeq and is a predicted model, not a curated record. NCBI's taxonomy places the organism in Eukaryota, Metazoa, Chordata, Mammalia, Chiroptera, Pteropodidae.
GCAGGGACACCUACGCAGCGUUGGGAGGACUCUGGGUGCGAUCUGCGUGCUUCCGGACCGCAGGCUGGGCUCGGGCGGCUAGCACCGGGAACCUGCUCGGCGUCAUCGGAGUCCACCAUCCGCAGGGGAUCCAGUGACAGCCUUGGCGCCGGUGUCUGCUUUUCCCAGACCAGCCAGGAAGGACCAUGUGCCAGGACUUACACCUCAUCCAUCUGCCCUUGGCCUCCUUGGAGCCCUUUCUCGGUCAUCAUUAUCUUUCUUCAGACAUCAGUGACAUCGUUGUUUGCCAUCAGCCUGUCUGCAUUCUCAUGUACCUCUAUUCUCUCCCUACCCUGGUCUUUAGGGACAUGUGAACGCCAAGUGCACUGGCAGAACCCUUGAAGUUAUGAGAGCCAGAAACCCAGCUAGAGCGAGUGUAGGACAGACAGAAUCUAGGCAGUACCCCACACUGUGGGGAGAGCAGGUGUGCAGCUGGGACUCGGAGCUCCGAGUCACAGAGGGGACCCCAGAUGUUGUCAGGAGUCUUUCUUGUCCCUCGUCCCUGUUUCUGGGACUUCCUUCUGUCAUACUGACUUCACGUGACCCGAAAUAGAAUGCCCAAAUAGCUCCCACAGCUCACAUUACAAAUUUUGCCAUAGAAAGGGACCGAGGCUCCUUAAAUAGAGCCAGUUUGCAAGAUCUUUGGGAAAGAUUUCGAUCGGCCCAGCCUAGUUUGGGGUGGGGCCGAGGGGCUGGGUCUCUGCUUGGGCUGCGGGGAGGGAGAGCGUGAGUCCUACGGAAGACGAGGCCUCGUGGACACACGUUGGAGCUGUCCACUCCAGGAAGAGGAGCAGUCACAGGGUCUUAGUUCCUAGCUCGGAGACCUGUCUGAAUGGGAGUGUUUAUGCUUAAUAAAGCCAGGCCUAUCUGGAGGUUCAAUGCCAGAAACAUCCGGGGACAGGACAGGUAUGAGAGGCUGAAAACAAGGUGGUGACCCCACAGCCUUCUCAGAAGAGAGAGCUGGCUGCGACAGGAGGCUGGCAGACCUGGAUGUGAAGCUGGAAGUUUCGUUUGGUGCUGUUGGGAAGCUUUUGUUUUGUAGGAAACCAAGUCUCAUUGGGACUCUCCCUCCGUUAGGGCUGUCUGCAAUAAAGAUGACAAUAAAAGCAUUCAGACUCCAUCUGUUGAGCACUUA